AGGAUGAACGCUAGCUACAGGCUUAACACAUGCAAGUCGAGGGGCACCGUGGUCUUAACUUGCUCAGGCCGAUGGCGACCGGCGCACGGGUGAAUAACACAUAUCCAACCUGCCGUCUACUCUUGGACAGCCUUCUGAAAGGAUGAUUAAUACAAGAUGGCAUCAUGAGUCCGCAUGUUCACAUGAUUAAAGGUAUUCCGGUACACGAUGGGGAUGCGUUCCACUUAUAUAGAAAGCGGGGUAACGGCCCACCUAGUCUUCGAUGGAUAGAGGUUCUGACAGGAAGGUCCCCCACAAUUGGAACUGAGACACGGACCACAACUCCUACGGUAGGCAGCAAUGAGGAAUAUUGGUCAAUGGGCGAGAGCCUGAACCACCCAAGUAGCGUGAACGAUGACUGCCCUAUGGGUUGUAAACUUCUUUUAUAAAGGAAUAAAGUCGGGUAUGCAUACCCGUUUGCAUGUACUUUAUGAAUAAUGAUCGGCUAACUCCGUGCCAGCACCCGCGGUAAUACCGAGGAUCCGAGCGUUAUCCGGAUUUAUUGCGUUUAAAGGGAGCGUAGAUGGAUGUUUAAGUCAGGUGCGAAACUUUGCGACUCCUCCGUAAAAUUGCAGUUGAUACUGGAUAUCUUGAGUGCAGUUGAGGCAGGCGGAAUUCGUGGUGUAGCGGUGAAAUGCUUAGAUAUCACGAAGAACUCCGAUUGCGAAGGCAGCCUGCUAAGCUGCAACUGACAUUGAGGCUCGAAAGUGUGGGUAUCAAACAGGAUUAGAUACCCUGGUAGUCCACACGGUAAACGAUGAAUACUCGCUGUUUGCGAUAUACAGCAAGCGGCCAAGCGAAAGCGUUAAGUAUUCCACCUGGGGAGUACGCCGGCAACGGUGAAACUCAAAGGAAUUGACGGGGGCCCGCACAAGCGGAGGAACAUGUGGUUUAAUUCGAUGAUACGCGAGGAACCUUACCCGGGCUUAAAUUGCAGAUGAAUUACGGUGAAAGCCGUAAGCCGCAAGGCAUCUGUGAAGGUGCUGCAUGGUUGUCGUCAGCUCGUGCCGUGAGGUGUCGGCUUAAGUGCCAUAACGAGCGCAACCCUUGUUGUCAGUUACUAACAGGUUCCGCUGAGGACUCUGACAAGACUGCCAUCGUAAGAUGUGAGGAAGGUGGGGAUGACGUCAAAUCAGCACGGCCCUUACGUCCGGGGCUACACACGUGUUACAAUGGGGGGUACAGAGGGCCGCUACCACGCGAGUGGAUGCCAAUCCCAAAAACCUCUCUCAGUUCGGACUGGAGUCUGCAACCCGACUCCACGAAGCUGGAUUCGCUAGUAAUCGCGCAUCAGCCACGGCGCGGUGAAUACGUUCCCGGGCCUUGUACACACCGCCCGUCAAGCCAUGGGAGCCGGGGGUACCUGAAGUGCGUAACCGCGAGGAGCGCCCUAGGGUAAAACUGGUGACUGGGGC
RNAcentral lists this ribosomal RNA (1454 nucleotides) under uncultured organism. RNAcentral's name for it is "16S ribosomal RNA". It matches the Rfam family "Bacterial small subunit ribosomal RNA". The record is from RNAcentral.